RNAcentral lists this unclassified non-coding RNA (408 nucleotides) under uncultured fungus. RNAcentral's name for it is "sequence contains ITS2". The stretch from base 1 to 155 matches the Rfam family "5.8S ribosomal RNA". The record is from RNAcentral. Lineage: Eukaryota; Fungi.
AACUUUUGGCAAUGGAUCACUUGGUUCUGGCAUCGAUGAAGAACGCAGCGAAAUGCGAUAAGUAAUGCGAAUUGCAGAAUUCCAGUGAGUCAUCGAAUCUUUGAACGCACAUUGCGCCCUUUGGUAUUCCGAAGGGCAUGCCUGUUCGAGCGUCAUUAUCACCCCUCAAGCCCCUGGCUUGGUGUUGGACGGUUUGGUGGAGGUCCCCUCGGGGGCUCCUGCCCCUCCCAAAGACAAUGACGGCGGCCUCGUUGGACCCCCGGUACACUGAGUUCUUCACGGGACACGUAUCGGACACAUGGGUUUACGGGACACGGUCUGCCUCCCCUCAGGGAGAAUCUUUCUAAGGUUGACCUCGGAUCAGGUAGGGAUACCCGCUGAAUUUAAGCAUAUCAAUAAGCGGAGGCU